UCUAAAUAAUUCCUGUCUCUACAGGUGUUGAGACAGGCAGUUCUCACAUGAAAAAGAGAGAGAGAGAGAGAGAGAGAGAGAGAGAGAAGAAAAAAAGGAAAACAAAAUGAUGACAAAUGAGUUUACUUAGUAACCAUUUGGAAACACUACCUUCUACCUCUACCUAACCAUAAAUGGAAAUAUGGGCUUUACACCUUCUCUAAUCACAAGGUUUAGGUGGCCAUACAAUAACUGCGUGUUUGGAGUUAUUCAUCCUGACUGACUCCUGAGAUUUAGAAUAUAUGUGUGCUUGGACAUCUUAGCCAUAGAAACCUCAGAAACAGCUACUAAAGCACAAAACCCCUUCCCUUAGUAUGCACAGGCAUAAUGUACCUAAUCCUUUAUCUCUGGCAAAGCUGUUGGCUUUUUGCCAGGGGCAUGUUCGGUGGUGUGUGGAAUCUGGAGCUGCUGCCUGACAUUGCUGGUGAAGGUGCGCAGAUACCAUGGUGAUGGGAGUGAUAUAGGUGCCUAGAUGGAUGGAUGGAUGGAUGGGUGGAUGGAUGGAUGGAUGUUUUCUUUACCCACUCACCAGCUCUUUGAUUGAACCAGUCCAACUUGAUUUUCCAGAUUAUUUAAGUAAGGAGGCUCAAAUCCAUCUGUUUGAGAAAGCCUGGCAAGCAAUCAAGCCCCCUGCAAUUCUCCCCUGCUGCCAUCUCAAAAUUAAAGAAAGAUGUUAUCACUGUCAUCAGCACAAUGAUAACAUUAGCAGCGGUGAACCCAGGUACCCCUGCACAGAGUGCUUGUGCUGUACAGGGACUCUCUGUGUGUCUACAAGCAACAUAUGUGCUGCAGAGCUGGAGCUCCACCCCAAGUCCCUUGGAUGCGUGUGCUAGUCACAUAAGACAUUGGAUGAAGAACAAAGUCUUGCUUGGAAAGGAACAAGAACUCCUAAAAAAUUAAAGAAAAAGUUCCAUCAGCUUCAGCUGAGGAACUGAGUCCCUAGACCAGAAGUAGGCUCUGGUGUAACUGCUUUCAAAGUUCUAAGACUUUUGGCUGCCUGGUUUUGCACUGACCUGGCUUUAACACACAAGUGGAAAAACAGAGAGUGGUUUUAGAAAGGAUAUCUAACUGUCUGAAAACUCAGGCAACUUGCUUGAUAAGCCUAAAUCCUCUUUAAAGCCUUACAUUGAAAUGUCCCCCAUCUUGGAAAGAGUAGGAAAAUGUCCUGGAAAGAGGGGAAUCUACCUGAUUUUAUAGAAAAUAGCAAGAAUGACCAUAUUUAAUGACACUGACUGUAGUGUUUACUAUAAGUGAGCUUGGAGCCAUUUCCAGGGCUCAACAGUAUUCAAGUGGCUGUUUACCUAAAGGUAGAAAUAUUUCAACAGGAACAGAUGCUCCUGACCACAUGUAGGUGGCUAAACCUAAAUGCCUGGGGACCUUUCAAGCUAAUUAGGGAAGAAUCUAGCAAACUUAAGCACAUACAAUAUUAGGCAGUUGUGGAAAAGAGACAGGCUGAACUUUCACCUGGGAUCAAAUGAGGAUUUGGCAAUAAUGAUCUAACCUAAACAGAGUUUAGGAUGCUUUUAUCCUACUCCUAACUAUAGCUUGCCUUGUUCCAGUUGCAGGUGCAAGUUCCUCUGCAUUGACUCAAGAUGAACUACCUGUUUCUUCAGUGAAAACAAA
RNAcentral lists this long non-coding RNA (1662 nucleotides) under Anas platyrhynchos platyrhynchos (common mallard). RNAcentral's name for it is "lncRNA (ENSAPLG00000017571.1)". Lineage: Eukaryota; Metazoa; Chordata; Aves; Anseriformes; Anatidae. The record is from RNAcentral.